GGUAAUGUAAAUCAGUGGUAGAGUGCUUGCCUAGCAUGCAUGAGGCCCUGGGUUUAAUCCCAAGUACCA
Molecule: transfer RNA, 69 nt
Filed under: Marmota monax (woodchuck)
Lineage: Eukaryota; Metazoa; Chordata; Mammalia; Rodentia; Sciuridae
Description: tRNA.Ala
Source: RNAcentral